This is a non-coding RNA of Onychomys torridus (southern grasshopper mouse), 549 nucleotides long. The record is from the annotation of a RefSeq genome assembly. NCBI's taxonomy places the organism in Eukaryota, Metazoa, Chordata, Mammalia, Rodentia, Cricetidae.
AUGACACUGUUGGGUCUUCUGUACCUGGUGACUGUUCUUCCUGGUGUCCUGUCCCAGGUACAGCUUAAGGAGUCAGGACCUGGCCUGGUGAAGCCCUCUCAAACACUGUCCCUCACCUGCUCUGUCACUGGUUACUCCAUCACCACUGGUUAUAGCUGGCACUGGAUCAGACAGUCUCCAGGGGAAAAGCUGGAGUGGAUGGGGUACAUAAAUUAUGAUGGUAGCACCAACUACAACCCAUCCCUCAAGAGCCGUAUCUCCAUCACCAGAGAAACAUCCAAGAACCAGUUCUUCCUGCAGCUGAACUCUGUGACCACUGAAGACACAGCCACAUAUUACUGUGCAAGAGACACAGUGAGGGAAGUUCAGCAUGAGCACAGACACAAACCUCCCUGCAGAGGAGAAAUGGAGCUAAAUGUUGUGUUGAGAAGACCUCAGGGUGUAGAGUCUGUUACUUUGACAACUACAAUGUUAUCCUACUCAGAUAUCACUGGUGCCAGGGCAGUAGGAUUCCAACCUGGCAAUGUAAAAUGCCUGCUCAUGUCAUAA